This 255-nucleotide ribosomal RNA is filed under the name uncultured bacterium. RNAcentral describes it as "partial 16S ribosomal RNA". It matches the Rfam family "Bacterial small subunit ribosomal RNA", at positions 524 to 776 of the family's 1533-position model. The record is from RNAcentral.
UACGUAGGGGGGCAAGCGUUGUCCGGAUUUAUUGGGCGUAAAGAGCGUGUAGGCGGUUAGGUAGGUCCGUUGUGAAAACUCGAGCUCAACCUCGAGACGCCGAUGGAAACCCCCCUAACUAGAGUCCGGAAGAGGAGAGUGGAAUUCCUGGUGUAGCGGUGGAAAUGCGCAGAUAUCAGGAAGAACACCCGUGGCUAAGGCGGCUCUCUAGUACGGUACUGACGCUGAGACGCGAAAGCGUGGGGAGCGAACAGG